RNAcentral lists this ribosomal RNA (500 nucleotides) under uncultured bacterium. RNAcentral's name for it is "bacterial SSU rRNA". It matches the Rfam family "Bacterial small subunit ribosomal RNA", at positions 21 to 507 of the family's 1533-position model. The record is from RNAcentral.
GGCUCAGGAUGAACGCUAGCUACAGGCUUAACACAUGCAAGUCGAGGGGAAACGAUAUUGGAAGCUUGCUUCCGAUAGGCGUCGACCGGCGCACGGGUGAGUAACGCGUAUCCAACCUGCCCAUCACUUGGGGAUAACCUUGCGAAAGUAAGACUAAUACCCAAUGACGUCUCUAGAAGACAUCUGAAAGAGAUUUAAAGAUUUAUCGGUGAUGGAUGGGGAUGCGUCUGAUUAGCUUGUUGGCGGGGUAACGGCCCACCAAGGCGACGAUCAGUAGGGGUUCUGAGAGGAAGGUCCCCCACAUUGGAACUGAGACACGGUCCAAACUCCUACGGGAGGCAGCAGUGAGGAAUAUUGGUCAAUGGACGAGAGUCUGAACCAGCCAAGUAGCGUGCAGGGAGACGGCCCUAUGGGUUGUAAACUGCUUUUAUAAGGGAAUAAAGUGAGUCUCGUGAGACUUUUUGCAUGUACCUUAUGAAUAAGGACCGGCUAAUUCCGUG